ACAUGCAAGUCGAGGGGCAGCAUGAACUUAGCUUGCUAAGUUUGAUGGCGACCGGCGCACGGGUGAGUAACACGUAUCCAACCUGCCGAUGACUCGGGGAUAGCCUUUCGAAAGAAAGAUUAAUACCCGAUGGCAUAGUUCUUCCGCAUGGUGGAACUAUUAAAGAAUUUCGGUCAUCGAUGGGGAUGCGUUCCAUUAGGUUGUUGGCGGGGUAACGGCCCACCAAGCCUUCGAUGGAUAGGGGUUCUGAGAGGAAGGUCCCCCACAUUGGAACUGAGACACGAUCCAAACUCCUACGGGAGGCAGCAGUGAGGAAUAUUGGUCAAUGGACGAGAGUCUGAACCAGCCAAGUAGCGUGAAGGAUGACUGCCCUAUGGGUUGUAAACUUCUUUUAUACGGGAAUAAAGUGAGGCACGUGUGCCUUUUUGUAUGUACCGUAUGAAUAAGGAUCGGCUAACUCCGUGCCAGCAGCCGCGGUAAUACGGAGGAUCCGAGCGUUAUCCGGAUUUAUUGGGUUUAAAGGGAGCGUAGGCGGACGCUUAAGUCAGUUGUGAAAGUUUGCGGCUCAACCGUAAAAUUGCAGUUGAUACUGGGUGUCUUGAGUACAGUAGAGGCAGGCGGAAUUCGUGGUGUAGCGGUGAAAUGCUUAGAUAUCACGAAGAACUCCGAUUGCGAAGGCAGCUUGCUGGACUGUAACUGACGCUGAUGCUCGAAAGUGUGGGUAUCAAACAGGAUUAGAUACCCUGGUAGUCCACACAGUAAACGAUGAAUACUCGCUGUUUGCGAUAUACAGUAAGCGGCCAAGCGAAAGCGUUAAGUAUUCCACCUGGGGAGUACGCCGGCACGGUGAAACUCAAAGGAAUUGACGGGGGCCCGCACAAGCGGAGGA
This 889-nucleotide ribosomal RNA is filed under the name uncultured bacterium. Its description in RNAcentral is "bacterial SSU rRNA". It matches the Rfam family "Bacterial small subunit ribosomal RNA", at positions 53 to 936 of the family's 1533-position model. The record is from RNAcentral.